UAGUCCACGCCGUAAACGAUGUCGACUUGGAGGUUGUGCCCUUGAGGCGUGGCUUCCGGAGCUAACGCGUUAAGUCGACCGCCUGGGGAGUACGGCCGCAAGGUUAAAACUCAAAUGAAUUGACGGGGGCCCGCACAAGCAGCGGAGCAUGUUGCUUAAUUCGAGGCAACGCGAAGAACCUUACCUAGGUUUGACAUGUACCGAAAAGCCAUAGAGAUAUGGUGUCCUUCGGGGCGGUACACAGGGUGCUGCAUGGUUGUCGUCAGCUCGUGCCGUGAGGUGUUGGGUUAAGUCCCGCAACGAGCGCAACCCCUAUUCUUAGUUGCCAGCACAUAAUGGUGGGGACUCUAGGAAGACUGCCGGCGUAAGCCGCGAGGAAGGUGGGGACGACGUCAAAUCAUCAUGGCCUUUAUGCCCAGGGGCUACACACGUGCUACAAUGGGCAGGUACAACGGGGUCGCUAAGCCGCGAGGUGGAGCCAAACCGAGAAAGCCUGUCCCAGUUCGGGAUUGAAGUCUGCAACUC
Molecule: ribosomal RNA, 525 nt
Filed under: uncultured bacterium
Lineage: Bacteria
Description: bacterial SSU rRNA
Rfam family: Bacterial small subunit ribosomal RNA
Source: RNAcentral